AAGUCGAGCGGCAGCGACAGUUACAAUCCUUCGGGUGCGUUUCUGGGCGGCGAGCGGCGGACGGGUGAGUAAUGCCUGGGAAUAUGCCUUGAUGUGGGGGAUAACUAUUGGAAACGAUAGCUAAUACCGCAUAAUCUCUUCGGAGCAAAGAGGGGGACCUUCGGGCCUCUCGCGUCAAGAUUAGCCCAGGUGGGAUUAGCUAGUUGGUGAGGUAAUGGCUCACCAAGGCAACGAUCCCUAGCUGGUCUGAGAGGAUGAUCGGCCACACUGGAACUGAGACACGGUCCAGACUCCCACGGGAGGCAGCAGUGGGGAAUAUUGCACAAUGGGCGCAAGCCUGAUGCAGCCAUGCCGCGUGUGUGAAGAAGGCCUUCGGGUUGUAAAGCACUUUCAGUCGUGAGGAAGGCAGUGUAGUUAAUAGCUGCAUUGUUUGACGUUAGCGACAGAAGAAGCACCGGCUAACUCCGUGCCAGCAGCCGCGGUAAUACGGAGGGUGCGAGCGUUAAUCGGAAUUACUGGGCGUAAAGCGCAUGCAGGUGGAUGAUUAAGUCAGAUGUGAAAGCCCGGGGCUCAACCUCGGAACAGCAUUUGAAACUGGUCAUCUAGAGUACUGUAGAGGGGGGUAGAAUUUCAGGUGUAGCGGUGAAAUGCGUAGAGAUCUGAAGGAAUACCGGUGGCGAAGGCGGCCCCCUGGACAGAUACUGACACUCAGAUGCGAAAGCGUGGGGAGCAAACAGGAUUAGAUACCCUGGUAGUCCACGCCGUAAACGAUGUCUACUUGGAGGUUGUGGCCUUGAGCCGUGGCUUUCGGAGCUAACGCGUUAAGUAGACCGCCUGGGGAGUACGGUCGCAAGAUUAAAACUCAAAUGAAUUGACGGGG
Molecule: ribosomal RNA, 880 nt
Filed under: uncultured microorganism
Description: SSU rRNA
Rfam family: Bacterial small subunit ribosomal RNA
Source: RNAcentral